UUAUCCUAUUUGAUCUCAUUUUCCAUUUUAGUUUAUGAUUUGUUUUCAAGAGGAUGUCCAAUUCCCUCUUUCCCUUGUAGUCCUUGAAGUUAAGUUUUAAUGAAAGUUGUGUUUCAAAAAAAAUGGACUGUACGAUCCAGAAUACCAAAGACAAGGUCUAUGUAUUGACCCUCACUUGAGAAAUUUUCUCAAUCAAUAAAUGGUUGUUGAUCUAUCCUCAAACCUUCAGCAACUGAAAGGAAUCUAUAGGUCAUUGAUCUAUCCUCAAAACUUUGAAUAAAUGAAAGGUUUUAUGUUUAAUGGUGUGUUGUCAUGGUCCCUCCUUUUCUUUUUCUCUAUGGUCUUUAGUUUUAUCUUGCGUCAGCGUCAAGUGGACUUGUUGUUUAAAGGUUGAUGUCAGUUUACAUUAUGGUAUUGUACCCUUAUCUUACAAUCGUUAAACCGUGGUUUGUUUUU
Brassica oleracea var. oleracea is the source of this 456-nucleotide long non-coding RNA. RefSeq lists it as uncharacterized. Lineage: Eukaryota; Viridiplantae; Streptophyta; Magnoliopsida; Brassicales; Brassicaceae. The record is from RefSeq and is a predicted model, not a curated record. The transcript has 2 exons.